AACUUUCAACAACGGAUCUCUUGGUUCUGGCAUCGAUGAAGAACGCAGCGAAAUGCGAUAAGUAAUGUGAAUUGCAGAAUUCAGUGAAUCAUCGAAUCUUUGAACGCACAUUGCGCCCUUUGGUAUUCCGAAGGGCAUGCUUGUUCGAGCGUCAUUU
RNAcentral lists this ribosomal RNA (157 nucleotides) under Acanthohelicospora guianensis. RNAcentral's name for it is "Helicosporium guianense 5.8S ribosomal RNA". It matches the Rfam family "5.8S ribosomal RNA". Rfam says of the family: 5.8S ribosomal RNA (5.8S rRNA) is a component of the large subunit of the eukaryotic ribosome. It is transcribed by RNA polymerase I as part of the 45S precursor that also contains 18S and 28S rRNA. Functionally, it is thought that 5.8S rRNA may be involved in ribosome translocation. Lineage: Eukaryota; Fungi; Ascomycota; Dothideomycetes; Tubeufiales; Tubeufiaceae. The record is from RNAcentral.